Molecule: long non-coding RNA, 391 nt
Filed under: Brassica napus (rape)
Lineage: Eukaryota; Viridiplantae; Streptophyta; Magnoliopsida; Brassicales; Brassicaceae
Description: long non-coding RNA (BNAP_LNC013860)
Source: RNAcentral
AAAUAACCAAACUGAGAACCGAACAGGUAACCCAAUAGAUAAUUUUUUUAAUUAUAUAUAUAUAAUAUAACUAAAUAUAUAUUAUAAUUUAAAAAUCUAUUAAAACUGUCCAAAAAUAUUUAAAGAUAACUAAAUUAUCAUAAAGUAUCCAAACUACCAAAAGUAUCCGAAAAGUAUUCGGAUAUUUUUAUCAUAAAUAUCUAAGAUAAUCUGAAAUGUCCAAGAUUUUUAUUCAAAUCAUCGUAAUUAUUUGAUAUUUUAUUCAAAAUACCCGAUUUUAAUCCGAGUUAUUCGAACUACCUGAAAUAAUCAAACCGGAACCGAAAUCAGAAAUAUAUCAAGUAAUAAUGGAUCUUUUAACCCUCUAUUCGAAUUACACGAUACUCAAAAU